CGUAGGUGGCAAGCGUUGUCCGGAUUUAUUGGGCGUAAAGCGAGCGCAGGCGGUUCUUUAAGUCUGAUGUGAAAGCCCCCGGCUCAACCGGGGAGGGUCAUUGGAAACUGGAGAACUUGAGUGCAGAAGAGGAGAGUGGAAUUCCACGUGUAGCGGUGAAAUGCGUAGAUAUGUGGAGGAACACCAGUGGCGAAGGCGACUCUCUGGUCUGUAACUGACGCUGAGGCUCGAAAGCGUGGGGAGCAAACAGGAUUAGAUACCCUGGUAGUCAAGGGCG
Molecule: ribosomal RNA, 277 nt
Filed under: uncultured Carnobacteriaceae bacterium
Lineage: Bacteria; Bacillati; Bacillota; Bacilli; Lactobacillales; Carnobacteriaceae
Description: partial 16S ribosomal RNA
Rfam family: Bacterial small subunit ribosomal RNA
Source: RNAcentral